Molecule: ribosomal RNA, 774 nt
Filed under: uncultured Neocallimastigales
Lineage: Eukaryota; Fungi; Neocallimastigomycota; Neocallimastigomycetes; Neocallimastigales
Description: partial large subunit ribosomal RNA
Rfam family: Eukaryotic large subunit ribosomal RNA
Source: RNAcentral
AUGUGAUCGUCUCUCGCAUAUCAAUAAGCGGAGGAAAAGAAACUAACAAGGAUUCCCUUAGUAACGGCGAGUGAAGCGGGAAGAGCUCAAAUUUGAAAUCUUCAAGGUUUUACCUUGACGAAUUGUAGUUUAGAGAAGUGUUUUCUGUUGAAGUUUUGGUAAAAGUUCUUUGGAAUAGGACAUCAUAGAGGGUGAGAAUCCCGUAUUUGACCAUUAUUUUCAGCUGUGUGAUACACUUUCAAAGAGUCGGAUUGUUUGGGAAUGCAGUCCAAAAUGGGUGGUAAAUUUCAUCUAAAGCUAAAUAUUGGCGAGGAGACCGAUAGCGAACAAGUACCGUGAGGGAAAGAUGAAAAGAACUUUGAAAAGAGAGUUAAACAGUACGUGAAAUUGCCAAAAGGGAAGCGUUUGACACCAGUGUUGUUUUCUCGAAAAUCAAUUAAAAAGAGUUAGAUUUUGUUGUGUAUUGACCUUAACAGCUUGCAUUUCAAUUUUCUUGCUUUUUUUAAUGCACUUUUCGUUUAACAAGUCAACAUCAGUUUCUUUUGUUGUAAAAAGGUCAUUGGAAGGUGGCUUUCUUUUCGGAGAAAGUGUUUAUAGCCUUUGACUCCUGCAAUCGGAGAGACUGAGGUCUGCAGCGUAGAUCCUUCGGGGUUAGAUACAUUUGUGCUAAGUUAUAGCUUUUUAUAGACAACUUGUUGACUAUGAUUAGUCUUGUAGCUUACUCGCUUAUGCUAUUUUACCUACGCUUAGGAUGUUGAAGAUGUAGCACAUCAU